This 806-nucleotide ribosomal RNA is filed under the name uncultured bacterium. RNAcentral describes it as "bacterial SSU rRNA". It matches the Rfam family "Bacterial small subunit ribosomal RNA", at positions 8 to 794 of the family's 1533-position model. The record is from RNAcentral.
AGAGUUUGAUCAUGGCUCAGGAUGAACGCUGGCGGCGUGCCUAAUACAUGCAAGUCGAGCGAAUGGAUUGAGAGCUUGCUCUCAAGAAGUUAGCGGCGGACGGGUGAGUAACACGUGGGUAACCUGCCCAUAAGACUGGGRUAACUCCGGGAAACCGGGGCUAAUACCGGAUAAUAUUUUGAACUGCAUGGUUCGAAAUUGAAAGGCGGCUUCGGCUGUCACUUAUGGAUGGACCCGCGUCGCAUUAGCUAGUUGGUGAGGUAACGGCUCACCAAGGCAACGAUGCGUAGCCGACCUGAGAGGGUGAUCGGCCACACUGGGACUGAGACACGGCCCAGACUCCUACGGGAGGCAGCAGUAGGGAAUCUUCCGCAAUGGACGAAAGUCUGACGGAGCAACGCCGCGUGAGUGAUGAAGGCUUUCGGGUCGUAAAACUCUGUUGUUAGGGAAGAACAAGUGCUAGUUGAAUAAGCUGGCACCUUGACGGUACCUAACCAGAAAGCCACGGCUAACUACGUGCCAGCAGCCGCGGUAAUACGUAGGUGGCAAGCGUUGUCCGGAAUUAUUGGGCGUAAAGCGCGCGCAGGUGGUUCCUUAAGUCUGAUGUGAAAGCCCCCGGCUCAACCGGGGAGGGUCAUUGGAAACUGGGGAACUUGAGUGCAGAAGAGGAAAGUGGAAUUCCACGUGUAGCGGUGAAAUGCGUAGAGAUGUGGAGGAACACCAGUGGCGAAGGCGACUUUCUGGUCUGUAACUGACACUGAGGCGCGAAAGCGUGGGGAGCGAACAGGAUUAGAUACCCUGGUAGU